RNAcentral lists this ribosomal RNA (372 nucleotides) under uncultured organism. RNAcentral describes it as "bacterial SSU rRNA". It matches the Rfam family "Bacterial small subunit ribosomal RNA", at positions 526 to 896 of the family's 1533-position model. The record is from RNAcentral.
CGUAGGGUGCUAACGUUGUUCGGAAUCACAGGGCAUAAAGAGCGCGUAGGCGGUCUGAUCAGUCAGGUGUGAAAUCCCCCGGCUCAACCGGGGAACUGCACCUGAUACUGUCGGGCUUGAGUGCAGGAGGGGAGAGCGGAAUUCCUGGUGGAGCGGUGAAAUGCGUAGAUAUCAGGAGGAACGCCGGCGGCGAAAGCGGCUCUCUGGUCUGUUACUGACGCUGAGGCGCGAAAGCUAGGGGAGCAAACGGGAUCAGAUACCCCGGUAGUCCUAGCCCUAAACGAUGGGUACUAAGUAGAGGAAAUUCCGAUAUUUUCUCUGCCGGAGCUAAUGUAUUAAGUACCCCGCCUGGGGAGUAUGGUCGCAAGGCUA